GCCUCGGUAGUCUAAAGGCUUAGGACGCUUGCACGGUAUGCAAGAGAUCCGGGUUCGACUCCCGGCCGAGGUA
RNAcentral lists this transfer RNA (73 nucleotides) under Trachymyrmex cornetzi. It matches the Rfam family "tRNA". From Rfam's summary of the family: Transfer RNA (tRNA) molecules are approximately 80 nucleotides in length. The record is from Rfam by way of RNAcentral. Lineage: Eukaryota; Metazoa; Arthropoda; Insecta; Hymenoptera; Formicidae.